AUGAGAAUGAGAUGUCUACUGUGCCAGGCCAUCACUUAUUUAUAUGAUACAGAGCGGGAUGCCUUUAUAAUUAAUGGGAGACCAUGUAGGAUCACACUAAAAGAUGCGGAGCAUAUAACAGGUCUGCCUUGCAUGGGGAAGAAUCAUGUCCCUUCAAAUCACAACAAUACUUUGGAGUUGUGGAAGGAACUGAAAGACCCUAAUGACACAAAAGUAACUUUGAAAGGAUUGCUAGCCAAGAUGAAAGGCGACAGCACACCUAAUUUUGUCAGGCCAUUUGUCUUGUACACCAUAGGCAAAUAUGUAUGCCCGACAACACAACAGUAUGUGGACAAUAGAUACCUUGGGAUUGUUAGAAACGUUGAGACAAUAAAGAGCACCAAUUUUGGAUAG
This 393-nucleotide ribosomal RNA is filed under the name Triticum aestivum (bread wheat). RNAcentral's name for it is "partial small subunit ribosomal RNA". Lineage: Eukaryota; Viridiplantae; Streptophyta; Magnoliopsida; Poales; Poaceae. The record is from RNAcentral.